AUGGUCAAAGCAUGCUGAAAACACUGGUUCUCUUUAGAUAACUAAAGUUAAGCAGUGUUGAGCCCAGUCUGUACUUAGAUGGGGGACCACUUCUGAAAACAGGAUACUGUA
Molecule: non-coding RNA, 111 nt
Organism: Acanthosepion pharaonis
Lineage: Eukaryota; Metazoa; Mollusca; Cephalopoda; Sepiida; Sepiidae
Source: the annotation of a GenBank genome assembly